GAAUGAAUUUGAUUUAGUUUAGUGGCGGACGGGUGAGUAACGCGUGAGUAACCUGCCUUCAAGAGGGGGAUAACAUUCUGAAAAGAAUGCUAAUACCGCAUGAUAUAUCGGAACCACAUGGUUCUGAUAUCAAAGAUUUUAUCGCUUGAAGAUGGACUCGCGUCCGAUUAGUUAGUUGGUGAGGUAACGGCUCACCAAGACCGCGAUCGGUAGCCGGACUGAGAGGUUGAACGGCCACAUUGGGACUGAGACACGGCCCAGACUCCUACGGGAGGCAGCAGUGGGGGAUAUUGCGCAAUGGGGGCAACCCUGACGCAGCAACGCCGCGUGAAGGAUGAAGGUUUUCGGAUUGUAAACUUCUUUUAUUAAGGACGAAACUUGACGGUACUUAAUGAAUAAGCUCCGGCUAACUACGUGCCAGCAGCCGCGGUAAUACGUAGGGAGCAAGCGUUGUCCGGAUUUACUGGGUGUAAAGGGUGCGUAGGCGGCUUUGCAAGUCAGAUGUGAAAUCUAUGGGCUCAACCCAUAAACUGCAUUUGAAACUGUAGAGCUUGAGCGAAGUAGAGGCAGGCGGAAUUCCCCGUGUAGCGGUGAAAUGCGUAGAGAUGGGGAGGAACACCAGUGGCGAAGGCGGCCUGCUGGGCUUUAACUGACGCUGAGGCACGA
Molecule: ribosomal RNA, 666 nt
Filed under: uncultured Lachnospiraceae bacterium
Lineage: Bacteria; Bacillati; Bacillota; Clostridia; Lachnospirales; Lachnospiraceae
Description: bacterial SSU rRNA
Rfam family: Bacterial small subunit ribosomal RNA
Source: RNAcentral